Molecule: long non-coding RNA, 721 nt
Filed under: Pan troglodytes (chimpanzee)
Lineage: Eukaryota; Metazoa; Chordata; Mammalia; Primates; Hominidae
Description: lincRNA
Source: RNAcentral
CAGGCAUAGCCAGCUGAAAUUCUGAAAGUGGAUUAUGCAUGGAGUAAUGCUGUUCUCAGGAAAUCAGUGAUUUAUUUUAUAAUCUAAAAUUUAAACGUUUUAAUAUACCUCCCAAGAAGAUACCCAGUUCAGAAAACUGCAGAGGAGCCAUGGAACUCAGCAGAAGGCCAGCUCCCUCUCUGGGAGGCCGCCUUCAGGAAACCAAUUGUCCCCCCACCUGAUUCCAAAGGAAUUACAGAAAAAUGGAAAGCCAGGAACAAAAAUCAUAAAUCAUAUUUUCAAGAUGACCUUGUAACGUUAUCCAUGGAUGUUACCUCAGACUUCAUGAUAAGCUGAGGCCCUGACACCAUGUUCCUGUCACCUUCCUGUUGUGGCCAUGAACGAUGCCUUGAGCUCAGCUGUGCCUGGAUGCUUGGACUCAGCUGCUGCAGCUCAGAGACUCUGGACGAGCCCUUCAGCAUCAGACCAUCUCUUCUGAGAUUCUGCUCAGGACUUGGGCCUGGAUGAUCUGCUGAGCUUCAGUCUCUGCCCUGCUCCCCUCAUGGAGGACCUGAUUCAUCUGGAGCCUCGGACUCCCUUUGUAGUGGUCCCUGGGAUCAGAGCAGCACUCUUGGAAGAACAGUAAAACAGACUUGUUAUUGGCAGCCCAUUAGUGCUCAGGAGAGGCGGUCUCCAGCAUGACAUCAGCCAGCGGCUCGACCCAAAUCUAGUAUUUCACCAG